This 443-nucleotide ribosomal RNA is filed under the name Cryptosporidium ryanae. RNAcentral describes it as "SSU rRNA". It matches the Rfam family "Eukaryotic small subunit ribosomal RNA", at positions 357 to 835 of the family's 1831-position model. The record is from RNAcentral. Lineage: Eukaryota; Apicomplexa; Conoidasida; Eucoccidiorida; Cryptosporidiidae.
GGGUAACGGGGAAUUAGGGUUCGAUUCCGGAGAGGGAGCCUGAGAAACGGCUACCACAUCUAAGGAAGGCAGCAGGCGCGCAAAUUACCCAAUCCUAAUACAGGGAGGUAGUGACAAGAAAUAACAAUACAGAGCCUUACGGUUUUGUAAUUGGAAUGAGUUAAGUAUAAACCCCUUAACAAGUAUCAAUUGGAGGGCAAGUCUGGUGCCAGCAGCCGCGGUAAUUCCAGCUCCAAUAGCGUAUAUUAAAGUUGUUGCAGUUAAAAAGCUCGUAGUUAAUUUUCUGUUAAUUUUUAUAUACAAUGCUACGGUAUUUAUAUAAUAUUAACAUAAUUCAUAUUACUUUUUAGUAUAUGAAACUUUACUUUGAGAAAAUUAGAGUGCUUAAAGCAGGCUAUUGCCUUGAAUACUCCAGCAUGGAAUAAUAUUAAGGAUUUUUAUUC